AAAUUGAAGAGUUUGAUCAUGGCUCAGAUUGAACGCUGGCGGCAGGCCUAACACAUGCAAGUCGAACGGUAACAGGAAGCAGCUUGCUGCUUUGCUGACGAGUGGCGGACGGGUGAGUAAUGUCUGGGAAACUGCCUGAUGGAGGGGGAUAACUACUGGAAACGGUGGCUAAUACCGCAUAAUGUCGCAAGACCAAAGAGGGGGACCUUCGGGCCUCUUGCCAUCAGAUGUGCCCAGAUGGGAUUAGCUUGUUGGUGAGGUAACGGCUCACCAAGGCGACGAUCCCUAGCUGGUCUGAGAGGAUGACCAGCCACACUGGAACUGAGACACGGUCCAGACUCCUACGGGAGGCAGCAGUGGGGAAUAUUGCACAAUGGGCGCAAGCCUGAUGCAGCCAUGCCGCGUGUAUGAAGAAGGCCUUCGGGUUGUAAAGUACUUUCAGCGGGGAGGAAGGUGUUGUGGUUAAUAACCGCAGCAAUUGACGUUACCCGCAGAAGAAGCACCGGCUAACUCCGUGCCAGCAGCCGCGGUAAUACGGAGGGUGCAAGCGUUAAUCGGAAUUACUGGGCGUAAAGCGCACGCAGGCGGUCUGUCAAGUCGGAUGUGAAAUCCCCGGGCUCAACCUGGGAACUGCAUUCGAAACUGGCAGGCUUGAGUCUUGUAGAGGGGGGUAGAAUUCCAGGUGUAGCGGUGAAAUGCGUAGAGAUCUGGAAGGAAUACCGGUGGCGAAGGCGGCCCCCUGGACAAAGACUGACGCUCAGGUGCGAAAGCGUGGGGAGCAAACAGGAUUAGAUACCCUGGUAGUCCACGCCGUAAACGAUGUCUACUUGGAGGUUGUGCCCUUGAGGCGUGGCUUCCGGAGCUAACGCGUUAAGUAGACCGCCUGGGGAGUACGGCCGCAAGGUUAAAACUCAAAUGAAUUGACGGGGGCCCGCACAAGCGGUGGAGCAUGUGGUUUAAUUCGAUGCAACGCGAAGAACCUUACCUGGUCUUGACAUCCACAGAACUUUCCAGAGAUGGAUUGGUGCCUUCGGGAACUGUGAGACAGGUGCUGCAUGGCUGUCGUCAGCUCGUGUUGUGAAAUGUUGGGUUAAGUCCCGCAACGAGCGCAACCCUUAUCCUUUGUUGCCAGCGAUUAGGUCGGGAACUCAAAGGAGACUGCCAGUGAUAAACUGGAGGA
RNAcentral lists this ribosomal RNA (1180 nucleotides) under Salmonella enterica subsp. enterica serovar Johannesburg. RNAcentral describes it as "bacterial SSU rRNA". It matches the Rfam family "Bacterial small subunit ribosomal RNA", at positions 1 to 1170 of the family's 1533-position model. The record is from RNAcentral. Lineage: Bacteria; Pseudomonadati; Pseudomonadota; Gammaproteobacteria; Enterobacterales; Enterobacteriaceae.